GGGAAUGUGGCUUAAUGGUAAAGUGCCUGCCUAGCAUGCCUGAAGCCCUGGGAUCGAUUCCUCAUUACCA
Molecule: transfer RNA, 70 nt
Filed under: Dipodomys ordii (Ord's kangaroo rat)
Lineage: Eukaryota; Metazoa; Chordata; Mammalia; Rodentia; Heteromyidae
Rfam family: tRNA
About the family: Transfer RNA (tRNA) molecules are approximately 80 nucleotides in length.
Source: Rfam by way of RNAcentral